RNAcentral lists this ribosomal RNA (477 nucleotides) under Wolbachia endosymbiont of Aedes aegypti. Its description in RNAcentral is "bacterial SSU rRNA". It matches the Rfam family "Bacterial small subunit ribosomal RNA", at positions 7 to 512 of the family's 1533-position model. Lineage: Bacteria; Pseudomonadati; Pseudomonadota; Alphaproteobacteria; Rickettsiales; Anaplasmataceae. The record is from RNAcentral.
GAGAGUUUGAUCCUGGCUCAGAAUGAACGCUGGCGGCAGGCCUAACACAUGCAAGUCGGACGGAGUUAUAUUGUAGCUUGCUAUGGUAUAACUUAGUGGCAGACGGGUGAGUAAUGUAUAGGAAUCUACCUAGUAGUACGGAAUAAUUGUUGGAAACGGCAACUAAUACCGUAUACGCCCUACGGGGGAAAAAUUUAUUGCUAUUAGAUGAGCCUAUAUUAGAUUAGCUAGUUGGUGGAGUAAUAGCCUACCAAGGCAAUGAUCUAUAGCUGAUCUGAGAGGAUGAUCAGCCACACUGGAACUGAGAUACGGUCCAGACUCCUACGGGAGGCAGCAGUGGGGAAUAUUGGACAAUGGGCGAAAGCCUGAUCCAGCCAUGCCGCAUGAGUGAAGAAGGCCUUUGGGUUGUAAAGCUCUUUUAGUGAGGAAGAUAAUGACGGUACUCACAGAAGAAGUCCUGGCUAACUCCGUGCCAGC